Molecule: long non-coding RNA, 2084 nt
Organism: Phacochoerus africanus (Common warthog)
Lineage: Eukaryota; Metazoa; Chordata; Mammalia; Artiodactyla; Suidae
Exons: 7
Source: RefSeq, a predicted model, not a curated record
CUAAUACUCAUAUUCCUUGAGUGAAUGGUUUGUAUGUUUAAAUAAAAGUUAUGAUUUUAGUAAGCAGUACUCAAGGGGAAUUUGAGGUCAACUUCAAGACCAAGGUCUUAGAAAAACUGAUUUUCUAUACUACCCUUUUCCAAGGAAAAAAUAUAAUUUUUCUAGUUAUAUAGAUGGUCAAGUUAAUGUCUGUGGUUAAUUCCUUGUUAUUUUUUAGCAGUUAGCAUUCAGUUUGGAAGGUUUUGUUUCACAACUUCCUUUAUUUUCUCUGUACUUUAAAAAAUGGAAGCGACUUUGGAAUUGCAUGGAAUACUCACCACCCUAAAGAAGUGCUAGAUUUUUGUGUUUUCACCUGUUCCCUUUUUUGGGAUGGAACAAAACAGUGCACUUCAAAGAAUUUCUGCAUAUUCUUUGUCUUCCUACUGAUGCCUCAUAUAGGAAUUAGGCAUGGAGGUGAUGACAAGGCUGUUCCUCACCCAUAUGGCAGACAGAAGUUGUUUCUACUGAGGGGCAUGCUUGCACAAAUGUCACUGAAUCCUCAGCAAUAUGGCCUGACUGGAAGUUAUGUAGAACAAAAGAGACAUUUUGCUGCUUGGAAUUUUCACUGCCACCCACAGAGACGUGCUAUUUUUGUCACUUGUACCAUCUUCUUUCUCUGGGAAAAAUCAGAACAAGGCACUCCAGAGGUUGGCAUGGACCAAAAACUGGGUUUCAUUUGGACGAGUUUAUUCUUUCCUCUUGAGAUAAAACUAUGAAGGAAAGUAUUGGGAAUAAUUCUGCCACACAUCUUCAAAGGCCUGUGUGAAUUCUCAGAAUGGUGACAGAGCUUAGAAGGAAAGGGAAACCAUCUAUGCCUUUGUCUUAACUCUCAAAUGCCAGCUCUGCAGAAAGUGACAACUUCUCUGUAAGACCCUUCCUACUUGUGGUCCUUUGGACAUCCUUGAAGGAGAUGACUUCUUGGGAACUCUUUUGAGAAUGAAUGACAUCAGCAAAUCCCUAAACAAGACUCUUCAUUCAGAGCAUUUUCAUCUACCUAUUGUCCAAGGGCUGCCCUCUGAAAGUGAUGGCCACAAAGAUGAGGUGGAUUUGUUACUCUGGAUACCAUUGCUUCUACCACCAGCUUCUCCAAAUCUACGACAGUCUUCCUCAGGCAUGGAAACUCUUCUCUUUCCUGUGUUGCAGUGGAUACCUCCUGCAGAUAAGAAAUGCUUAACUGAGAAAUGCUCAUGUUGGGAUAUCAUCGAUGAGACUUUAAUUUGGGCAUGGUGACUGUUUCCCUUGCUUCCACUUGACUCAAUCCCAGGAGCCUCAGUAGAGGAAAUAUUAUUGCACAAGAAACUCAAAAUGGUGGAAUUGCUCAGUGCUCCCAUAAAAAUACAUUUAUAAACUUCAUUUGCCAUGUGGUAAAUUUAAAGAAUAAGAUCUAUUUUUUUUCAAAAAUUCAAAGCAUAUCUAAAAUAUCUAACAUAUAAAUUAAGCACCCUCCUUUCUCCUAAUACUAUCUCCCAAAGUUUUUCUCUACUAAGGGAGUUGUGUGCAUUCUUUAAGUGGAUAUAUGUGCACACACACGUUAUUUUUAGGGGGUUCUGGAAUUGGAGCUAUAUUGUACACAUUAUUACGCAAAUUGCCUCAUUUAACAAUUUUCUCAAUGCCCUUUUUCUGUUUCACUACUACAUAUCUGUGUCAUUUGUUGAAUGACUGCAUGACUGUUUUGUACAUGAAAUAUAAUUAAAUGUUUUAAGCACUUAUUCAUAGAUAUUUAUGUUAGCACCAAAUUUCUGUGCAAUGAACCUCCCUAUAUAUCAAUAAUUUAUAUUUGUCUAUUAUAUCAUAAUAAAUUACAGUUGAAAUACUGGGAUUAAGUAUAUGCACAUUUCAAAUUUUGAAAAUAAUCACAAGAUUUCCUUAGAAAUAUGGUAACAUCUUUAUCCUUAAAUGGCAAUGAAUGAAUUUGCCAGCUUUCCCACAACCUCACAGAUAAUGAAUUUUAUGAGUAUUUAAAAUCUUUGCCAGUGUGAUAGCCCAAACUAUUGUCUUAAAUUGUAUUUCUUUUGUUUUUGAUCAUUUUUCAUAUGUUUAUUAGC